RNAcentral lists this ribosomal RNA (253 nucleotides) under uncultured bacterium. RNAcentral describes it as "partial 16S ribosomal RNA". It matches the Rfam family "Bacterial small subunit ribosomal RNA", at positions 524 to 776 of the family's 1533-position model. The record is from RNAcentral.
UACGAAGGGGGCUAGCGUUGCUCGGAUUCAUUGGGCGUAAAGGGUGCGUAGGUGGCGCCGUAAGUCAGGUGUGAAAUUUCGGAGCUUAACUCCGAAACUGCAUUUGAUACUGCGGUGCUUGAGGACUGGAGAGGAGACUGGAAUUUACGGUGUAGCAGUGAAAUGCGUAGAGAUCGUAAGGAAGACCAGUGGCGAAGGCGGGUCUCUGGACAGUUCCUGACACUGAGGCACGAAGGCCAGGGGAGCAAACGGG